RNAcentral lists this transfer RNA (77 nucleotides) under Alphaproteobacteria bacterium. Its description in RNAcentral is "tRNA-Arg". It matches the Rfam family "tRNA". From Rfam's summary of the family: Transfer RNA (tRNA) molecules are approximately 80 nucleotides in length. Their secondary structure includes four short double-helical elements and three loops (D, anti-codon, and T loops). Lineage: Bacteria; Pseudomonadati; Pseudomonadota; Alphaproteobacteria. The record is from RNAcentral.
GCGCCCGUAGCUCAGCUGGAUAGAGUACCAGAUUCCGAAUCUGGGGGUCGCAGGUUCGAAUCCUGCCGGGCGCGCCA